RNAcentral lists this long non-coding RNA (1269 nucleotides) under Cucumis sativus (cucumber). RNAcentral describes it as "long non-coding RNA (CSAT_LNC001724)". The record is from RNAcentral. Lineage: Eukaryota; Viridiplantae; Streptophyta; Magnoliopsida; Cucurbitales; Cucurbitaceae.
UUCUAAUGUCGGGCUCGAUUCGCUUCCCUGCAUUUGGAGAACUUAACCGAUGAGUGGCAAGAAUUUAUCCAUUAUACUCCCGAAGUAAGUUAUCAUGGACCCUUGAUUUUAAUCAAUUGAACUAUGUUCAAGUUGUGAGAUGAAAUUAAAAAUGAUGGUAGAGUGAUUUACUAUUUACUACGAUGAAAUUCCUUAAUUUUUCAAAAUAUAAAAUCCGAAAAUCUUAUCAAAAUACACACCUAAGUUCCAUUUUGUGGUGGUAUAAUUUCGUAGUAUAUAUUCUUGUUAGUUCAUUAGUUUUUUUUUUCUGUAAUAUAUAUAUAUAUAACACUCUCCAUUCACUUCAACCUAGAAAUAAAAACUAUAUUAUAUAUACAAUACAAUACAUUAGGGUUUAAAACCUUCAUAUAUAUAUAUAUAUAUAUAUAAAUACGGCCCACACACAUGUUAUAAUUAAGAACAAAUUAACAAAUGACUUAUGAGGUUAAUUACCUUAUUUGACAAGCUCAGUGCGAGUUUUUCUUUAUCUCCAUAGAUUUCUCCAUCAAAUUGAUCUCUUUUCUGCUUCAUAGAAACAAAAACAACAAUAUUAAUAAUAAUAAAUUAAACCAUAUCCAAAAUUCACCACGAAAAACAGAGAGAAGAAAUAGCCAAAUAAAAACUUAAACUUACUGAAGAAUGAUGAGCUACUUCAUCCAUAGUUGAAUUAGCAUAAGAAGAAUUAGGAUCCACAUUAAGGUCCAAAAAAAUAUCCAUCAUAUGAAAUUAAAUUAGUAAUUUCAGAUAUAUUUUUAAAAACUAUUAUUAUUGUUGUUGCAUGUAAAGAAGAAUUAGAAGAAAAUUUGAGGGUAUUUUUGUGAAGAAGAAGAAGAGGAAGAAGAAGAAGAAGAAGGGAAGAAGAAUUAUUUUGCAGAAAAAUGAGUGAUAAUGGGAAGAAGACUUAUAUAUAAAGAAAGAAAGAAAAGAAAAGAAAAGAAGAAGAAGAAGAAGAAGACGAAGAAGAAGAAGAAUUUGCAAAAAAGGGCCUGUGGGGUUGGGUGGGUCCCACAAUUCUGGAAGAAGUCGGUUUUGGAAUUCUUUUCUUAGUCCACCCCUUUAAUUUUCAUUAUUUACAUCACACUUCCUUUCUUUUUCUUUUCUUUUCCCUUUUUUUUUAUAAAUAAAACUUUGUUUUGUGGUAAUAUUGACUUUGAAAGUAGAGUGGAAUGGUUGACUUGAGUGUGUAAGGGUCCCACACGCUUUUGAAAAUGAAAUGACUUUUUUGCUCUC